CACGUAGGGUGCGAGCGUUGUCCGGAAUUAUUGGGCGUAAAGCGUGCGUAGACGGUUAUUUAAGUCGGAUGUGAAAGCCCCGGGCUCAACCUGGGAAUUGCAUUCGAGACUGAAUAGCUAGGGUACGGUAGAGGGAAGUGGAAUUUCCGGUGUAGCGGUGAAAUGCGUAGAUAUCGGAAGGAACAUCAGUGGCGAAAGCGACUUCCUGGACCAGUACCGACGUUCAGGCACGAAAGCGUGGGGAGCAAACAGG
Molecule: ribosomal RNA, 253 nt
Filed under: uncultured bacterium
Lineage: Bacteria
Description: partial 16S ribosomal RNA
Rfam family: Bacterial small subunit ribosomal RNA
Source: RNAcentral